This 253-nucleotide ribosomal RNA is filed under the name uncultured bacterium. RNAcentral describes it as "partial 16S ribosomal RNA". It matches the Rfam family "Bacterial small subunit ribosomal RNA", at positions 524 to 776 of the family's 1533-position model. The record is from RNAcentral.
GACGAACCGUGCGAACGUUGUUCGGAAUUACUGGGCGUAAAGUGUGCGCAGGCGGCCGAGCAAGUCGAGUGUGAAAGCCCCGAGCUUAACUUGGGAACUGCGCUCGAAACUACUUGGCUAGAGUGUGGCAGAGGGAGGUGGAAUUCCACGUGUAGCGGUGAAAUGCGUAGAGAUGUGGAGGAACACCGAUGGCGAAGGCAGCCUCCUGGGCCAACACUGACGCUCAGGCGCGAAAGCUAGGGGAGCAAACGGG